Molecule: long non-coding RNA, 359 nt
Organism: Ailuropoda melanoleuca (giant panda)
Lineage: Eukaryota; Metazoa; Chordata; Mammalia; Carnivora; Ursidae
Exons: 3
Source: RefSeq, a predicted model, not a curated record
CCACAUUCCUGGAAGACAACUUCACAUCUUCUCUUGCCUUAAACUCUCGAUGCCACAUUCCUCACCCUCACCAUCAGGAGAUGGUAUCACUUCCUAAUUCGCUGAGAAGACCUGGGGAACCACAGGUGUUCUCAACACCGCAUCACCGUCUCCAGGACGUACCUCCCAGACCCUGGGAGCCAGAAGGCCAGUGGAAUCCACAUUCGAAGGACAGGGGAGGGGGUGAGGAGCCUCCAAGUGCCCCCGUCCAGCUCUCAGAAGGUAACAGAAUAGGAAUUUCCAAAUGGCACAUUUGAGGAGCUGACUGGAGCAGCCUUCGGAACAGUUUCUCCCUUGUAAGAGCAAACACUCGGAAAGUC